AUUGAACGCUGGCGGCAGGCCUAACACAUGCAAGUCGAGCGGAGCGGCGGACGGGUGAGUAAUGCCUCGGAAUCUGCCUGGUAGUGGGGGAGAACGUCCGGAAACGGGCGCUAAUACCGCAUACUCACAGACUAGCCUAGGUCGGUUUAGCUAGUUUGUGGGGUAAAGGCCUACCAAGGCGACGAUCAGUAACUGGUCUGAGAGGAUGAUCAGGCACACUGGAACUGAGAAACGGUCCAGCCUCCUACGGGAGGCAGCAGUGGGGAAGAUUGGACAAUGGGCGAAAGCCUGAUCCAGCCAUGCCGCGUGUGUGAAGAAGGUCUUCGGAUUGUAAAGCACUUUAAGUUGGGAGGCGUUACCAACAGAAUAAGCACCGGCUAACUUCGUGCCAGCAGCCGCGGUAAUAC
This 407-nucleotide ribosomal RNA is filed under the name uncultured bacterium. RNAcentral describes it as "partial 16S ribosomal RNA". It matches the Rfam family "Bacterial small subunit ribosomal RNA", at positions 30 to 526 of the family's 1533-position model. The record is from RNAcentral.